GUGACGUGAGGAGAGGGCCCAUUAGCAGACCCCUCCCUGGAGAUGUGACCGGAAGGUGCACGCGUCUCCUGCUCCCGCCCCGCCCCGGGCCUUGCGCUUCCUGGGGCCGCGGCGUGGCCAGCGUUCCUCCGCGGCAGGCCCCACCACUCUGAGGUUUCCUCAGCUGAGCCUGGUGACCAUGGACUGAAAUUUCUGAAACUGAAACCCUUUACCCAAACUGCCGCAGCGGACUUGCUCUCACUGCCCUCCAUCAGCACUCGGCCCCUUGCUCACUCACCGAUGUGGAGGUAAAGCGUACAUCUAGCACUCUGGCUAGCAAGGGAGACACGAGCUUGCGCAGGAGGCGAGAGGACGUAACCCCUGGAAGGUUCCCUCUCUCAUUUUUCACAUUUGAAAGCAAUGGAGAGGUCCGAGAGAAUGGCUCGCCCCUGCUGUGCGAAGGCGCGGCUCGUGUCCUCCACGCUGACCUGCUCUUCGGGGCUCCGGAGCUCUGCUUUGCACAGACUACUGGCAUCUGCUCGCCUUUUUAAGAAAGCCCUAGACUUCGACCGAGUAAUACAUUUUCAUGGCUGGCCUAUAUAUGUCAGCCAUGAACAAAAGCCUGGGAAAUCCUUUUAAUAAGAGGGAAAAAUCAAAUGUG
This is a long non-coding RNA of Chinchilla lanigera (long-tailed chinchilla), 640 nucleotides long. RefSeq lists it as uncharacterized. The transcript is spliced from 3 exons. NCBI's taxonomy places the organism in Eukaryota, Metazoa, Chordata, Mammalia, Rodentia, Chinchillidae. The record is from RefSeq and is a predicted model, not a curated record.